This 669-nucleotide ribosomal RNA is filed under the name uncultured Lachnospiraceae bacterium. RNAcentral's name for it is "bacterial SSU rRNA". It matches the Rfam family "Bacterial small subunit ribosomal RNA", at positions 67 to 749 of the family's 1533-position model. The record is from RNAcentral. Lineage: Bacteria; Bacillati; Bacillota; Clostridia; Lachnospirales; Lachnospiraceae.
CGAGAGAUGAAGAGCUUGCUCUUCAAAUCGAGUGGCGAACGGGUGAGUAACGCGUGAGGAACCUGCCUCAAAGAGGGGGACAACAGUUGGAAACGACUGCUAAUACCGCAUAAGCCCACGGCUCGGCAUCGAGCAGAGGGAAAAGGAGUGAUCCGCUUUGAGAUGGCCUCGCGUCCGAUUAGCUAGUUGGUGAGGUAACGGCCCACCAAGGCGACGAUCGGUAGCCGGACUGAGAGGUUGAACGGCCACAUUGGGACUGAGACACGGCCCAGACUCCUACGGGAGGCAGCAGUGGGGAAUAUUGCACAAUGGGGGAAACCCUGAUGCAGCGACGCCGCGUGGAGGAAGAAGGUCUUCGGAUUGUAAACUCCUGUUGUUGAGGAAGAUAAUGACGGUACUCAACAAGGAAGUGACGGCUAACUACGUGCCAGCAGCCGCGGUAAAACGUAGGUCACAAGCGUUGUCCGGAAUUACUGGGUGUAAAGGGAGCGCAGGCGGGAGAACAAGUUGGAAGUGAAAUCCAUGGGCUCAACCCAUGAACUGCUUUCAAAACUGUUUUUCUUGAGUAGUGCAGAGGUAGGCGGAAUUCCCGGUGUAGCGGUGGAAUGCGUAGAUAUCGGGAGGAACACCAGUGGCGAAGGCGGCCUACUGGGCACCAACUGACGCUGA